Molecule: ribosomal RNA, 300 nt
Filed under: uncultured bacterium
Lineage: Bacteria
Description: bacterial SSU rRNA
Rfam family: Bacterial small subunit ribosomal RNA
Source: RNAcentral
GACGAACGCUGGCGGCGCGCUUAACACAUGCAAGUCGAGCGAGAACCAGGGCUUCGGCCCUGGGGACAGCGGCGAACGGGUGAGUAACACGUGGGUGACCUGCCCUCAGCUCUGGGAUAAGCCUGGGAAACCGGGUCUAAUACCGGAUAUGACUCCAUGACGCAUGUUGUGGGGUGGAAAGCCUUGUGCGGCUGAGGAUGGGCCCGCGGCCUAUCAGCUUGUUGGUGGGGGAGUGGCCUACCAAGGCGACGACGGGUAGCCGGCCUGAGAGGGCGGACCGGCCACACGUGGGACUGAGAC